GAAAGGGGGCAACCCCCGGUAGCGUGGCAGACGGGUGAGUAACACGUGGGUAACCUACCCGGAGGUGGGGGAUAACCCUUCGAAAGGAGGGCUAAUACCGCAUGACAUCGCGUGGACCUCGGUCCUUGCGAUCAAAGCUGGCCUCUGUUUACAAGCUAGCGCCACCAGAGGGGCCCGCGCCCCAUUAGCUAGUUGGUGAGGUAACGGCUCACCAAGGCGACGAUGGGUAGCCGGCCUGAGAGGGCGACCGGCCACACUGGAACUGAGACACGGUCCAGACUCCUACGGGAGGCAGCAGUGAGGAAUCUUGCGCAAUGGGCGAAAGCCUGACGCAGCGACGCCGCGUGGAGGAUGAAGGUCUUCGGAUUGUAAACUCCUGUCGAGUGGGACGAAUGCCGCGAGGAUGAAUACUCCUCGCGGUUGACGGUACCGCUGGAGGAAGCCCCGGCUAACUCCGUGCCAGCAGCCGCGGUAAUACGGAGGGGGCCAGCGUUGUUCGGAAUCAUUGGGCGUAAAGGGCGCGUAGGCGGCCGAUCAAGUCGGAGGUGAAAUCCCUCGGCUCAACUGAGGAACUGCCUCCGAUACUGUUCGGCUUGAGUCCUGGAGAGGGUAGUGGAAUU
This 620-nucleotide ribosomal RNA is filed under the name uncultured Acidobacteriota bacterium. RNAcentral describes it as "bacterial SSU rRNA". It matches the Rfam family "Bacterial small subunit ribosomal RNA", at positions 69 to 668 of the family's 1533-position model. The record is from RNAcentral. Lineage: Bacteria; Pseudomonadati; Acidobacteriota.